This is a long non-coding RNA of Capsella rubella, 736 nucleotides long. RefSeq lists it as uncharacterized. NCBI's taxonomy places the organism in Eukaryota, Viridiplantae, Streptophyta, Magnoliopsida, Brassicales, Brassicaceae. The record is from RefSeq and is a predicted model, not a curated record. The transcript has 2 exons.
UGGGUGUUUAUACUCACCAUGAAAUUGAGCCACUUUACUCAUAUUCAUGUGAAUUAUCUUUGAUACUUUCUUUUGUUAAUAAUUGUGAAAUUAUACUCAUAAUUUUUUUUUCUUUACAGUUUUAACAAUUUUUAGGAAAGGAGAUCUAGAAGCUCUUUUCAUCUACGUAUCAUUGUGUUCCAAUGCGACUACCAAGUUUAGGAAAAAUUUGUCCACAGAGAUGAAGCCCAUGAAUCGUUGUCCACAAAAUUAAAGUUCAAUGGCAGAGUUUCGUUUCGGUGAAUGGAUACGAUGUGGUGGAUACGAUACUGUGGAUACGAUGUGGUGGCUGCAAUGUUGUCGUUGUGAUGUGAUUUGGUGGCAGCGGUUCGAUGGUUAAGUCCAUGAAUCGUUGUCCACAAAUUAAAUUGAAGUUCAAUGGCAGAGUUUCGUUUCGGUGAAUGGAUACGAUGUGGUGGAUGCGAUGCAAAUUAUGGUUGCAAUGUGAUUUAUUGGCAGCGUUUGAUGGUUGCGAUGUGGUGGAUGCGACGCAAAUUAUGUGAUAAUUAAUGAUAAAGAUCAUGGAUGUGCUUGAAUGGCCAGCAGUUAGAAAUGUUUGUGUCAUAGUUUUUAAUGUAAGGAUUUCAUGUGUUAUGAUUACCGUGAAUGGUUAGUGUUUUUUCCUUUGAAAAUAUUUCUUCAAGAAUCUAUGGAUAUUGUAUAGUGAAUUUAUGGUGAAUUAAAAAUUGUUCAAGUA